Molecule: small nuclear RNA, 62 nt
Filed under: Panthera leo (lion)
Lineage: Eukaryota; Metazoa; Chordata; Mammalia; Carnivora; Felidae
Description: U7 small nuclear RNA (ENSPLOG00000020399.1)
Rfam family: U7 small nuclear RNA
About the family: Animal histone pre-mRNAs are spliced by a different mechanism than nuclear pre-mRNAs and self-splicing introns.
Source: Rfam by way of RNAcentral
AAGUGUUACAGCUCCUUUAGAAUUUGUCUAGCAGGCUUUCCGGUCCUUACCAGAACACCCCU